ACGAACGCUGGCGGCGUGCUUAACACAUGCAAGUCGAACGGUGAAGCGCCUUCCUUUUUGGUGGGUGUGGAUGAGUGGCGAACGGGUGAGUAACACGUGAGUAACCUGCCCCCUUCUUCUGGAUAACCGCAUGAAAGUGUGGCUAAUACGGGAUAUUCUGGGUCUGUCGCAUGAUGGGUCUGGGAAAGAUAUUGUUUCGGUGGGGGAUGGGCUCGCGGCCUAUCAGCUUGUUGGUGGGGUGAUGGCCUACCAAGGCGGUGACGGGUAGCCGGCCUGAGAGGGUGGACGGUCACACUGGGACGGAGACACGGCGCAGACUCCUACGGGAGGCAGCAGGGGGGAAUAUUGCACAAUGGGCGCAAGCCUGAUGCAGCGACGCCGCGUGAGGGAUGGAGGCCUGCGGGUUGUGAACCUCUUUCGCCAGUGAAGCAGGCCUGCCUCGUUUGUGGGUGGGUUGACGGUAGCUGGAGAAGAAGCGCCGGCUAACUACGUG
RNAcentral lists this ribosomal RNA (493 nucleotides) under uncultured bacterium. RNAcentral's name for it is "partial 16S ribosomal RNA". It matches the Rfam family "Bacterial small subunit ribosomal RNA", at positions 29 to 507 of the family's 1533-position model. The record is from RNAcentral.